This 495-nucleotide ribosomal RNA is filed under the name uncultured bacterium. Its description in RNAcentral is "partial 16S ribosomal RNA". It matches the Rfam family "Bacterial small subunit ribosomal RNA", at positions 28 to 505 of the family's 1533-position model. The record is from RNAcentral.
GAUGAACGCUGGCGGCGUUCCUAAUACAUGCAAGUCGAGCGAACAGACGAGGAGCUUGCUCCUCUGACGUUAGCGGCGGACGGGUGAGUAACACGUGGAUAACCUACCUAUAAGACUGGGAUAACUUCGGGAAACCGGAGCUAAUACCGGAUAAUAUAUUGAACCGCAUGGUUCAAUAGUGAAAGACGGUUUUGCUGUCACUUAUAGAUGGAUCCGCGCCGCAUUAGCUAGUUGGUAAGGUAACGGCUUACCAAGGCAACGAUGCGUAGCCGACCUGAGAGGGUGAUCGGCCACAAUGGAAGUGAGACGCGGUCCAGACUCCUACGGGAGGCAGCAGUAGGGAAUCUUCCGCAAGGGGCGAAAGCCUGACGGAGCAACGCCGCGUGAGUGAUGAAGGUCUUCGGAUCGUAAAACUCUGUUAUUAGGGAAGAACAAAUGUGUAAGUAACUAUGCACGUCUAGACGGUACCUAAUCAGAAAGCCACGGCUAACUACG